Molecule: long non-coding RNA, 439 nt
Organism: Dermacentor silvarum
Lineage: Eukaryota; Metazoa; Arthropoda; Arachnida; Ixodida; Ixodidae
Exons: 4
Source: RefSeq, a predicted model, not a curated record
CUCUGAACUUGAGCUUCUGCAUUCAAUAUAUUCUCGUUUUUCUUUUCUUCUUUUCCUGCAGUCUUCAAAUUGCGUCUCAGUUACUGUCAUUCAAGUACCUGCUGAGGGAAGUGAGGGAAAAAGGUGGCGCUUAUGGAGUGGGUGCAGUUGUUCAACCUGGUGGAUGCCUCAGCUUUUACUCAUACAGGGACCCAAACAUGGAGAAAACACUGGAUGUAUUUUGCAACUCGGUAGCAUGGCUCACAAAAGGAGAGUUUACAGAAGAAGAUCUUGCAGAAUCCAAGCUGUCUUGCUUUGCAAAGGUUGACAAGCCCAUCACCCCAGGUAACCGUGGGGCUGCAGCAUUCCUGCAUGGAGUGACAGAUGAGAUGAGGCAAGAGCACCGGCAGAGGAUCUUUGCCUGCAGCAAAGAUGACAUCAUCUCGGCAGUCAAGAGGUG